CUGCCGAGAAAAGCCUCUAGAUAGAAAAUAGGUGCCCGUACCGCAAACCGACACAGGUAGUCAAGAUGAGAAUUCUAAGGUGAGCGAGCGAACUCUCGUUAAGGAACUCGGCAAAAUGACCCCGUAACUUCGGGAGAAGGGGUGCUCUUUAGGGUUAACGCCCAGAAGAGCCGCAGUGAAUAGGCCCAAGCGACUGUUUAUCAAAAACACAGGUCUCUGCUAAACCGUAAGGUGAUGUAUAGGGGCUGACGCCUGCCCGGUGCUGGAAGGUUAAGAGGAGUGGUUAGCUUCUGCGAAGCUACGAAUCGAAGCCCCAGUAAACGGCGGCCGUAACUAUAACGGUCCUAAGGUAGCGAAAUUCCUUGUCGGGUAAGUUCCGACCCGCACGAAAGGCGUAACGAUUUGGGCACUGUCUCAACGAGAGACUCGGUGAAAUCAUAGUACCUGUGAAGAUGCAGGUUACCCGCGACAGGACGGAAAGACCCCGUGGAGCUUUACUGUAGCCUGAUAUUGAAAUUCGGCACAGCUUGUACAGGAUAGGUA
RNAcentral lists this ribosomal RNA (543 nucleotides) under Staphylococcus aureus. RNAcentral describes it as "partial 23S ribosomal RNA". It matches the Rfam family "Bacterial large subunit ribosomal RNA", at positions 1605 to 2149 of the family's 2925-position model. The record is from RNAcentral. Lineage: Bacteria; Bacillati; Bacillota; Bacilli; Caryophanales; Staphylococcaceae.